Molecule: ribosomal RNA, 464 nt
Filed under: uncultured bacterium
Lineage: Bacteria
Description: partial 16S ribosomal RNA
Rfam family: Bacterial small subunit ribosomal RNA
Source: RNAcentral
CCUACGGGUGGCAGCAGUAGGGAAUUUUCGGCAAUGGGCGCAAGCCUGAACGAGCAAUGCCGCGUGAACGAGGAAGGUCUUCGGAUCGUAAAGUUCUGUUGAAGGGGAAAAAGAGCGGAGAGAGGAAAUGGUCUCCGAUUGAUAUUACCCUUCGAGGAAGUCACGGCUAACUACGUGCCAGCAGCCGCGGUAAUACGUAGGUGGCGAGCGUUAUCCGGAUUGAUUGGGCGUAAAGGGUGCGUAGGCGGCGUGCUAAGUCUGGGGUGAAAGGUACCGGCUCAACCGGGACAGGCUCUGGAAACUGGCGGGCUAGAGAGCAGAAGAGGGGGGUGGAACUCCAUGUGUAGCGGUAAAAUGCGUAGAUAUAUGGAAGAACACCAGUGGCGAAGGCGGCCGCCUGGCCUGUUACUGACGCUGAGGCACGAAAGCGUGGGGAGCAAAUAGGAUUAGAUACCCUUGUAGUC